AGGAAGCUGAUUGGCGGG
This 18-nucleotide small nuclear RNA is filed under the name Arabidopsis thaliana (thale cress). RNAcentral describes it as "snRNA_01644". The record is from RNAcentral. Lineage: Eukaryota; Viridiplantae; Streptophyta; Magnoliopsida; Brassicales; Brassicaceae.